GGCCCCAUCGUCUAGUCAGGUCUAGGACAUCAGGUUUUCAUCCUGAGAACAGGGGUUCGAAUCCCCUUGGGGUCACCA
RNAcentral lists this transfer RNA (78 nucleotides) under Planctomycetota bacterium. Its description in RNAcentral is "Planctomycetes bacterium (marine metagenome) tRNA-Glu". It matches the Rfam family "tRNA". Rfam says of the family: Transfer RNA (tRNA) molecules are approximately 80 nucleotides in length. Lineage: Bacteria; Pseudomonadati; Planctomycetota. The record is from RNAcentral.